AGCAGCCGCGGUAAUUCCAGCUCCAAUAGCGUAUAUUAAAGUUGUUGCAGUUAAAAAGCUCGUAGUUGAAUUUCGGGGUCAGUAGGUUGGUCGUGCCACUGGUACGUACUGGUCUCACUGAUUCCUCCUUCCUGAUGAACCGUAAUGCCAUUAAUUUGGUGUUGCGGGGAAACUGGACUGUUACUUUGAAAAAUUAGAGUGUUUAAAGCAGGCUAACGCUUGAAUACAUUAGCAUGGAAUAAUGAAAUAGGACGUUCGAUCCUAUUUUGUUGGUUUCUAGGAUUGACGUAAUGAUUAAUAGGGAUAGUUGGGGGCAUUAGUAUUCAAUUGUCAGAGGUGAAAUUCUUGGAUUUAUUGAAGACUAACUACUGCGAAAGCAUUUGCCAAGGAUGUUUUCAUUAAUCAAGAACGAAAGUUAGGGGAUCGAAGACGAUCAGAUACCGUCGUAGUCUUAACCAUAAACUAUGCCGACUAGGGAUCGGAUGAUGUUAAUUUUUAAUGUACUCA
This 507-nucleotide ribosomal RNA is filed under the name uncultured Glomeraceae. RNAcentral describes it as "SSU rRNA". It matches the Rfam family "Eukaryotic small subunit ribosomal RNA", at positions 569 to 1078 of the family's 1831-position model. The record is from RNAcentral. Lineage: Eukaryota; Fungi; Glomeromycota; Glomeromycetes; Glomerales; Glomeraceae.